Molecule: ribosomal RNA, 253 nt
Filed under: uncultured bacterium
Lineage: Bacteria
Description: partial 16S ribosomal RNA
Rfam family: Bacterial small subunit ribosomal RNA
Source: RNAcentral
GACGAACCAUCCAAACGUUAUUCGGAAUCACUGGGCUUAAAGGGUGCGUAGGCGGCCCGAUAAGUUGGGUGUGAAAUACCUCAGCUCAACUGAGGAAUGGCGCCCAAUACUGUCGGACUCGAGGAAGACAUAGGUGAGCGGAACUUAGGGUGGAGCGGUGAAAUGCGUUGAUAUCCUAAGGAACACCAGUAGCGAAAGCGGCUCACUGGGUCUUAUCUGACGCUGAGGCACGAAAGCCAGGGGAGCGAACGGG